RNAcentral lists this non-coding RNA (25 nucleotides) under Cricetulus griseus (Chinese hamster). The record is from RNAcentral. Lineage: Eukaryota; Metazoa; Chordata; Mammalia; Rodentia; Cricetidae.
GCUCAUGAAUUUUUGUUUGUCAUGG